RNAcentral lists this ribosomal RNA (485 nucleotides) under uncultured bacterium. RNAcentral's name for it is "partial 16S ribosomal RNA". It matches the Rfam family "Bacterial small subunit ribosomal RNA", at positions 28 to 523 of the family's 1533-position model. The record is from RNAcentral.
GACGAACGCUGGCGGCGUGCUUAACACAUGCAAGUCGAACGGUGAAGGUGGAGCUUGCUCCGCCGGAUCAGUGGCGAACGGGUGAGUAACACGUGGGCAACCUGCCCCUCACUUCGAGAUAACUCCGGGAAACCGGGGCUAAUACCGGAUACGACCUCCUUGGGCAUCCUUGGAGGUGGAAAGUUUUUCGGUGAGGGAUGGGCCCGCGGCCUAGCAGCUUGUUGGUGAGGUCGUGGCUCACCAAGGCGACGACGGGUAGCCGGCCUGAGAGGGCGACCGGCCACACUGGGACUGAGACACGGCCCAGACUCCUACGGGAGGCAGCAGUGGGGAAUAUUGCGCAAUGGGCGAAAGCCUGACGCAGCAACGCCGCGUGCGGGAUGAAGGCCUUCGGGUUGUAAACCGCUUUCAGCAGGGAAGAAGCCGCAAGGUGACGGUACCUGCAGAAGAAGCACCGGCUAACUACGUGCCAGCCGCCGCCGUAA